This 9001-nucleotide long non-coding RNA is filed under the name Setaria viridis. RNAcentral's name for it is "long non-coding RNA (SVIR_LNC000238)". Lineage: Eukaryota; Viridiplantae; Streptophyta; Magnoliopsida; Poales; Poaceae. The record is from RNAcentral.
GGGCACCAUGUAGCCGUCGUAUCAGCCCUGGCAGUGGAAAAGCCAGCUUCUACCUGAAACUGAUGCCUUCAGAAUGUAUCGAUACGGUAAUGCUACUUUCUCUUCGAAAUUUUUGGGUUCUUGCACAUGCGGAUGCUUGCAGGGGUAACCUCCACUAGCUCAUCUUCUUGGAUAAACUCUAUGCAGUCAUCCAAACUGUAGCUUAAAGGUUCAUCAAGAACCACUGCAAAAUAGGGAACACAGAGCAUUAAGUGUAGUUUGAUCAAAAGCUAAUAGUCAAUGAAUAUGAAUAUUGGUUGAGUAAUAAAAGCAUUUUCAAGUACAUAUUGGGCAUUUCAGCACUUGCUACUUCUAGAAUGAACAACCUACAUUGUUUUCAAUACAUGGUUAUAUUCCAAGAUCUCUACUCGUUCUUGUUCCAAAAUUUUAUCAUUUAUGUUGCAGCAGCUAUUGGGACGUUUUUCAAGAAGAGCCAAUCACAGUACACAAAAUCUGUUACAUAAAAGGUGGCAGUUCUGGUAGAAAUAAAAAAAAUGAGAAAUCAUCAAACUGCUGAGUGAAAAUAAAGUUCUACCUGUAGUUUCCUUGUUGGAACGAACAUUUGUAGCAGCCUUUUUCUUGCACACAUUAAUUGCUAAAUCACCAGGUCGCUGAUGGAUACCAACAAUUUGACCUUUGUAAACAUCCUGGCCAGGUUGGACAAACAGCAAACCUCUUUCUUGCGCAUUAAGAAGUGCGUAAGAAGUAGUGCUUCCAUCUUCAAACGCAACCUAGAUCAUUUUAUCCAAGUUAAAUGCUAGGGAAAAUUUAAGGAAAAGCUUCAUUGCUUUGAAAAUUAUCCAUACCAAGGAUCCCUGAUCGCGUGAGCUAAGAUCUCCAGCCCAUGGGCCAUAGCUGUCAAAAAUUGUGUUAAGUAUAGCUCUGCCACGAGAAGCUGUAAGAAUUGCAUUCCGAAGUCCAAUGAGGCCUCUGGUAGGAAUCUUGUAUUUCAGCAAUGUUGUUCCCUCCGGCCUACCAUUCAAAAUAAUUCUCAGUAAGGCAAUAAAGCAAUGUGAAAAAGAAGCAGUACACAAUAGGCUGGGGUAUGAUUUAAUUAAUACAAGACAAGUCAAUAAUCAAGCACAUAAUUUUCCUCUUUUCGUUGAAAGACCUGGCUUUUCAAUUAAUUAGAACAAUUCACCUGCUGCAUGAUUUCUACACUAGAUAAGAUAAAUUAUCCAUAAUUAAGGACUGAGACACCAAUAAAGUGAAAUCACAACUCCCAACUAAAAUUGUGCAAACUGACCAUGGAAGAACUCACAGAAAAUUGACCAGUUUGUUGGAUUUCAUCAGUUUGGAUAGGUUUGCAUUAAUGUCUGAGCUUUUCUUUUUCUCAAGUAAAAUUGUUCAAAAUAUACACAAAAGAUAAUGAUGCUAAGAGCAUACAAUUAUGUUUACUUAGUCCCAUACUGCGUACACCUACGUUAGUGCAUAGAGUAUGAAGCUUAACCCUAAACCCUUAAUAGUACACCUUAUGUUUUAAUUUACAGGGUGCACUUUUCUUUGGCUCAGAGACCAAUAAGGUAGCUAACGUGACCAAAUUGCCCCCCAUUAAUUCUUAAGAAUGCAUGCAGCUCGGCUAUCAAUUGCUGCCGUUGCUUAGGAGGGCUACAGACGUCCAUUUGUGCUUUGGAAACGGAACGUGCUUAGUAAAAAUGAACAGCUAAGAGAAAAAUGGACACCCUAUAAAUCCGAAACGGAAGGAGUACUAGUAGUUACAAAAAUACUACAUUAAAAAUAACAGAAAAAAAGGUCAUCUAGGAUGAAAGUGUGGGACUUGAGCAAUGAACUCCAGAAGUCGUUAAUUCUGAUGAAUCGCAACAAUGUUGGCAGUUUUUAUUGCUUUCUUUUUUUCUAUAUAAGAAUAUUAUAUGGAUUGCAACCAAGAAUUUCGCUAAAGAUCUGAUGAAGUAAUGAAAGUAUGGCACCAACCCGCUAGCUUCCAUGUUAACCAUUUGUCCACGCCUUUUCCCCAAAAGCUCAACAACUGAACCCAUGUACUCCUCUGGAACCUCAACAGCAGCUAUCUGGAGCACAGUAACGUGAACAUAUUAGUUAAAUGGAACCUGAGGACAAAAGAGUUCCAGAAAGAAUAAAGUAAUAAAAGAAGAGGUUUAUAGCCAAUAGAUCAGUAAAAAAAUAUAUUACAAAUCUAUUAUAUAUUUAUACAAUAAAGUAUAGACUUACCUCAUAAGGUUCUAGUUGUUUUCCAUCCACUGUCUUGUUUAUGACCUUUGGAGGUCCAAUCAUAAAUUCAUAUCCUUCUCUCCGCCUACAAAGUUCACAUUGUUCUUAAUACAACCAGAACUCACUAAAUUCGUAAUAGUAACAAAUGUUAGUUCUUACAUGUUCUCUAUCAAUAUUGUGAGAUGCAGUGUGCCUCUUCCACUAACAAGGAAUGUAUCAGCAGUCUCCCCAUCUUCUACUUUCAUAGCCAAAUUCCUUUCAAGCUCACGAUAUAACCUGUCACGGAGAUUUCGGCUAGUAACAUAUUUCCCCUGUGAUAGAGAAUGAGAGGAAGAAUGAAUUUAGAACAACAAAUGCAGGAGAUCAGAUUGAGUAGUCAAGAUCAAUUUUAUGGAUCUCCCAACUCUCUUUAGCACAGGAUAGCAUGCUAGAAAUUAGAGAUACACUAUUUUAUGUUUGCGUGGAGGAUGGCUAUACCUCCUUUCCAACAAAAGGUGAUGUAUUGAUGGAGAAAGACAUUCUGACUGUUGGCUCCUCCACUUUGAUAGUGGGCAAUGGUGUUCCUGUAACUUUAUCAGCAAUAGUUUCCCCAAUCUGUAUGGUUCGAAGCAUAGAACGAUAACGUUAUAAAGAUAAAAAUAAACUGAAAGAAUUGAAUACAAGAUGAACAAACACCUACCAUGAUAUCAUUCAUUCCACAUACAGCACAAAUGUCACCGGCACCAACAGAUUCAACUGGAACACGGCUGAAGUUCUGAUAAACAAAAAGCUCACUUAUUUUGCCGACCCUGCAAGCAUCAUCAGGUGUACAAACCUGCAAAGUAUCUUAAUCAGUAGAAGCUUGACUGCAAUAAGACACUAACAGCGGAAGAAAUUUUUCUACUUUUAUUCUAUGGAAGACUUAAAGACUUUGGGACCGAUAAUGAAAUAAAAACAUGACCAACCUAAGAGGAACUAGGUGGCAUUGUAAAUAAGAAGAAAUAUGUACCCAAAUUGGAAUUGAAGAGGACUUGAACCUGGGUGGUGGAAGUGUACACACCUUCCACCAACUGAACUAGACUCAGUUUUGAAUACAUGAAAUACGUAUGGUAAAGAACUAAAUUUGAAGAUCCAAUAUGACUAAUUUCAUUUAUAAAACACAAUAAUUAUGACUAUAGCAUAAUGUUUGAUAACAUGCAUGUUGGAGUGGCAAUGAGAAAAUAGGAUGCACCAGGUGUAAGAUAAAGGGAUGUGAAGCCUGCUCAGGCCUCAACUAGUCCCAGCAGUUUUUUUUUAAUCUUAUAUGAUUUGCUAGUUUUGAGAUGAAUCAAAAGGCAGCAAUCUCAAAUAGAGGGGCAUCCGAGGUAAUCAAAAAAAUGUUCUAAUUUUAUAUCUUUGUAAAUGAAAUUCAUCUGCUUUGAGGCAGCAACCCGACAACAGUUUCCACAGCAUAUAUGUAAUAGGAACCAUAUACCAACUCACUAUAAAUGGAUAUUUUCUUUUUCAAGCACAAGUACAGUAGGAAUUUCAAUCUAUCCAUUGGUUGAGCCUGUCUAUGAUGCUACCGCGUUUCUAUAUAUAAUUUUCCCACUGGUAUUCAUGUUUACAUUGCCAUGCAGAAAUAUGCACAAGCAGAACAGAUUUAUACCUUGACUUCCAAGCCACGCUGAAGUUCCCCUGCAUGCAACCGUCCAAUUGCUAUCCUUCCUUUGUGCUCAUCGUAUUCAGUAUUAGAUACCUUCAUAAUAGUCAGCAAUUAAGACUUAACAAAGAUAUGGAGGCAAUGAAGAAUUUGACAAUGAAAGAUAAAUGGAGAUAUAGCCUUGAACAUCCAAACAUUCUGAGAAGCCAGAAAGCCAGCUCAGCAGAAAUUUGUUCAUGUAAAACUAUUGGAGCUUUACAAAGCAUGAAGCCUGGAAGAAGCAACAAAAUAGAUAAUGUAUUCAUAUAUUAUGUGUUUGGUUACUGUUGAGUUUCUGUGUACAAACUAGCAAUGCACACUUGUAGUAGAAACACGAGUAAGUGUUCAUGUGACAUCAGUCUGGAAGAGAUUAGUUGUGAAUAUGAAUCAAGAUUGCAGUAUUAGCUGUCCAUAAUUAAAACAAACUUUUCUUGAUUGUGAAUGUAAGAAAUAAUUCAUCUCCAGCAAAGUUUUCCCUCUUAGGGAAUAUCAGAUAUUGAUCAUUUCAAUAAAAACAUAUAACCUAGUUUUCCAUGACAUGGUUUUUGGCAUUUUAGAGUAAUGGCAUUACUUCAUAUUUUAUUGAUAGAUCCCCUCUGUUCUAUAAUACAGGAUGUGUGUUUCUUUUCGGAUCUUGAUCAGAUUAGAAGGCGUGUACAAUUUUCCGUUCGAUAAUGUACCACUAUGCCCCUAAUAACUCCUUUUUUAUGUAGUUAGCAGUAAUAGCUACACAUGCAUUUGGCAAGUUACUCCAAAUGGCACCUGCAUGCAUGCAUGCAUAGCUGUAUGUGUAUUGCCCACUCCAGUGCAUGCUGAGAAAUGAGGCCCGAAUACUUUGAAGCAUGCAUGCUUACGGAAUUAAUACGAAAAAAUUGGUCACUGUUGGUACCUUGUUGGUCUUUGGGACAAAAAUAAAUCAUACCUUCUAAUAUAGGAGGGAGGGAGUAACUAUUUAAGCACCUAUAUAGUUUGACGACAAAUUACUUUACAUUAACAAACAAAACAGAAAAGAAACUAUAAUUCUACAGUUUAGGAGGCACUAUUUGUGAAAUAAAUCAAUGAUAAAAAACUUUUUCAGAGAUGCUGCUAAGAAAACAAUCACCAAAAUUGAUAAACAUACACGACGCCCAUGAAAAUGAGAUGCGUGAACUGUGACAAUAUCAAGCACCAACCAUGCAAAUCAGAGACAGAAUGAUGUAUCAGAUAUAAGGAAACAAAUGUCAAAGUUUAGAACUCACAAGCAUUUGCAGGGCACCAUCUUUCUCAAUGCGUGGCUCUGGGAUGCAUCUUAGAAUAGCCUCAAAAAGGGGUCCUAGGUCAUCAGCCAAAUUUUCUGGAUCUAACCCAGCCUUUCCUUUAAUUCCACUUGCAUAGACUGUUUGGAAAUCACACUGGCAUGUUGGAACAAAACAUGAACAUCAGGGCUAGGAUAUGACGUUUCUUGAUAAAUUAAAAACAAAUUAAAUGAACAAGAGUAUAGACAUAACUACUUUACCUGUUCAUCAGUUGCAUUUAACUCAAUAAAUAGUUCAAAUGUUGAAUUCACCACAAACUCAGGACGAGCAGCUGGUCUGUCAAUCUUGUUUACAACUACAACAACUGCAUGUCCAAAUUCUAGAGCUUUCUUCAGAACAAACCUUGUCUGUGGCAUAGGCCCCUCUACAGAAUCAACCUAUAUAGCAGAUAAGCUUUAAUUAAUCAGAUAUAUUGCCCAUGUUUCCUCAAUAUAAUUUCUACACUGCUCAGAAAUCAAUUUGAAAGGGACUUGGGUAACUAACAUGCAGCAGAAAAUGGAACAUAUACACAUGCUGCAAGUACAAGUUUGAUUGAAUAUAUGCAUAAGCCAUGUCAAAAGUUGGUAGCAUCACAAUGACUAUGUAUGGGUAAACUAAAAGCAGUAAAGCACAUAAGAAGUCAAAAGUGUGUCAACCAAAAAUUUACUGCAGAAAAGAGAAAGAUGUCAUUAUUCAGGAAGUUAAACAAAGAUGAGUAGUCACUAGUACCACUAGAAGAACUCCUUCAACCAUGUUGAGAACACGCUCAACCUCCCCGCCGAAAUCUGAAUGUCCAGGAGUAUCAAUUAUAUUGAUUUUAGUACCCUUAUAGGUUAUUGAUGUAUUCUUGCUCAAAAUAGUGAUUCCUCUUUCUCUUUCCAGAUCAUUGGAAUCCAUUAUUCUUUCCUGCACAACUUGAUUAUCCCGGAAAACCUGCAUAAGGUAAGCAGUUAGAGUAAUCCAACAGGAAGACCCAUUCACAGUAAAUGCACUACUGAUUUUUGCUACUACAAUGUGACAGAAUGGUGAUUCAAUGGAUAUAAGUUCCACACAUGGUUUCUAAUUUAUCUCAUCUCAGUAGUUAUAAACUCCUGCAAUACUGUUUAGUUUAACAUUGAUUUGGAGAGAAGGGUUCCAGAUUGAACAAAGAGACACUAAAUCAAACAAAGGAUACAGGUUUUUCAUUAAACACUUAACUGAGUGAAUAAAAUUAAAUAAUAGGUUUCUUGUGGGAUGGAUGGAAUCGGUUUCUAGAAGCAUACCGACCACAAUCAAUCUGGAUUUUACAGGGUUGUAACAGUGGUGACAUUUUUUUUUAGUAAAAUAUAUGAAUGCCAUUAUACUUGUCAAUGUAUUUCAGUUUGGCCAUUGUACUCAGGAAAGUGUAAAUCGUGGCCAUUAAGUUUGCCUGACUAACCAACACUGUUGUAGUGUAAUGGUAAGCCCCCAGUUGAGGGAAACACCAACCAGGGUCCUGGUGGCACAAAAAAAUAUCCCCUUGCUGGCAACCAAAAAUAAUAGUGGCAGGUGGCACCUGUGGUUGGUUUGGGCCCUCCUACCAGGACCCGGCUAUGGUUCGGCCCUAUAGGGUGAAUCCAGGGUUCAGGGGUUUCUCGGCCGGCUUGGCUGAGGUUUCUUCUCAGCUGUAAUGCCGCGGGGAGAUUCUUUCCCCUGCCGGUCGAGUUUUUCUAAGUUCUCCUGACUAAGCCGAUACAGCCAUUGGCCUAGCAAUAUGAAUAUGGAUGCAUAGAAUAGGCUCGAUCGUAUCUGGUUGUCCAACAUGGGCAAAUCAUACCUGAGGCAUUUAUGUUCGCAAUCUAGUUUGGCAUUUGCGCCUCCUGCCCCUUCCCUAGUUCUUUUCCAUCUAUAGCAUUCCUCUAUAGCCCCUUCUAGUGAUUCUGGAGACAGGGCCAUAACAGAGGUGGUUGUGUUGGCAGUGGUGUUUGGCAAGCGAUGAUCAACGAGCGGAGACGCUCAUCCACGUGCAGAUGUAGGGCAAAUUUCAGCCCUUCUUGACCGUGGCUCCAGCCCGCCCACAUAUCCUCCUCCCCGCAAUCCAUCACUGCAGCUUGAGCUGCCUUAGCUCUCAGCCUUAGCUCUCCCCUAUUGCCGCUGCUCCGACAUGGAUGAGGAAUUGAAAGGAAACAAUGGCAGAAAGAUGGAAGACUCGGAGAAAUGAGUGGACCGGAGCAAUGAAUGGAGUAUUAAAUUAGUGGGUCAUCUACCAGUGCUCAGGAUUCCAAGACAACCUUUCACCAAGUAUACAGGUGUAUUUUGCAUAAAAGAAAAGACCCAAUCCCUGUCAUGAUUUGGCCAUGCUGGACAAUCAGACACAGUCAAACCUACUCCUCAUCCAAAUACGUAUGGUUAAGAAUCCCAUGGCUGUAUUGGCAGUCAAGCGAGCUUAGUGCCCUCAAUUUACACAUUUUUUUAGGACAAUGGCCAAACUGAAAUACAAUGACAAUGACAAUUACAAUGACCAUUCAUUUACUUUUUUUUUUCUAAAACGCACAGGAGGACUGUGCAUCAUUCUAUUAAGAACUUAGAGUCGAAGAGAACUCAUACAGAAACCACAUAUACCCAGACACCCAGUGGUGACAUAUUGUCUCUUUUAAAGCUAGCAUCCACAUAUAAAGUUCUGGUAUCAUCCAUUGCAUGUAAAGCCAUCUUACUUCCCCAGGUAAUCAGGAAGUAAAAACUGAAGUUCUUUCAGUUACUUUUUCUGUACUUAGAUGACUGUCAAUUAAGGUACUUCGUCUAAAAGUGUAGUAAAUCUCUGUAAACAUAAUCGCAAAGGUAAUGAAUGCAUUACUAGAAUGUACCUUGGCUUGCCUUAACAUUGAAUCCACCAAAGUUGUCUUCCCAUGAUCAACAUGAGCAACAAUUGCUAUAUUCCUCACAUCCCUUCUAGUUGCUUGAGUACUCUUCCCUGCUGAUAAUCCAGUGAAGAAUGCACAUAAAAUUGGCAUGGUUUCAACAGAGCAGAAGAAAAGUCAACAUAUAUAGAAAACAAAAUGUGACUUAAGGAAACUUUGGGAAUCAUCAAGCGGUCAUUCCAAUGUUACUAAGCCAAGCUAGUAUGGAAAUGACAAUGGAUUUUAAUUUCCACAAGGAAGGUGAAGGACAUUAUCCAAAAAUGCACGUCUUUCACAUGAACCACUACUUUGACAAAAAUCAAUGGCGGAGCUGAAAAUAAUGAUCAUCAAUCAUCAAAUUACAUCGAAGUGGCAAGGCCACACAAGCUUUUGGGAGCUAUGAGCUAAGUGAAGCCAUGAUUGCAGCACGGCAGCAUUGGAGAGAAAUGCCGCCUUGUGUGAUGUGCCUAUCUAAUUCUAGAAAUGGGCCAACAUCUACUAGUAGCCUCACAGAUAGAGCUAUCAAGUUACACAAGAGAAGCCCACUCAGGUAGUUAGCAUACUGAUCACUGAAAUGGACUCAGGACCUCACUAUGCCAAAUUACUAAUCAGAAUGCAAAACGGCGUUAAUCCUACUCCACAAAGCAGGAACCUCGGUGCCGUUCACUUAUCGAUUAGAAAAAACCGUCCCAACGCCAUUCGGGGAAUUGAGAAAUUAGGGAGCGAGUUGAAGUGUUGAACUACCGGAGGGAGCCGGGGAGGCGGCGACUUCCUUGACCUCCUGCUCGAGCGAGGCGGAGGCCCUGAGGGAGCGGGGCCUCCGUCGUCGGAGCGAGCGGGGGACCCGCAGCAGGCAGGGAGAGGACCCGAGGUGGGCGGAGCUGGCCGGCGGCGGCGCGGCGCGGCGGGCGGAGGGGACGCCCCGCAGCGUGAGGGUCUGCUGCAUCUGCAUGGCGUGGCGGCGGGUGGUAGCGGGGGGGUGCCGC